UACGGAGGAUGCGAGCGUUGUCCGGAUUUAUUGGGUUUAAAGGGUGCGUAGACGGGCUUUUAAGUCAGCGGUAAAAAUUCGGGGCUCAACCCCGUCCGGCCGUUGAAACUGGGGGCCUUGAGUGGGCGAGAAGAAGGCGGAAUGCGUGGUGUAGCGGUGAAAUGCAUAGAUAUCACGCAGAACCCCGAUUGCGAAGGCAGCCUUCCGGCGCCCUACUGACGCUGAGGCACGAAAGUGCGGGGAUCGAACAGG
Molecule: ribosomal RNA, 252 nt
Filed under: uncultured bacterium
Lineage: Bacteria
Description: partial 16S ribosomal RNA
Rfam family: Bacterial small subunit ribosomal RNA
Source: RNAcentral